GAUGAACGCUGGCGGCGUGCUUAACACAUGCAAGUCGAACGAAGCGCUUAAGAUUGAUUCUUCGGAUGAUUUCUUUUGUGACUUAGUGGCGGACGGGUGAGUAACGCGUGGGUAACCUGCCUCACACAGGGGGAUAACAGUUAGAAAUGACUGCUAAUACCGCAUAACCCGAUAGGAUCGCAUGAUCCAGACGGAAAAGAUUUAUCGGUGUGAGAUGGACCCGCGUCUGAUUAGCUAGUUGGUGAGGUAACGGCCCACCAAGGCGACGAUCAGUAGCCGGCCUGAGAGGGUGAACGGCCACAUGGGGACUGGGACACGGCCCAAACUCCUACGGGAGGCAGCAGUGGGGAAUAUUGCACAAUGGGGGAAACCCUGAUGCAGCGACGCCGCGUGAGUGAAGAAGUAUUUCGGUAUGUAAAGCUCUAUCAGCAGGGAAGAAAAUGACGGUACCUGACUAAGAAGCCCCGGCUAACUACGUGCCAGCCGCCGCCGUAA
RNAcentral lists this ribosomal RNA (495 nucleotides) under uncultured bacterium. Its description in RNAcentral is "partial 16S ribosomal RNA". It matches the Rfam family "Bacterial small subunit ribosomal RNA", at positions 28 to 523 of the family's 1533-position model. The record is from RNAcentral.